RNAcentral lists this ribosomal RNA (244 nucleotides) under uncultured bacterium. Its description in RNAcentral is "partial 16S ribosomal RNA". It matches the Rfam family "Bacterial small subunit ribosomal RNA", at positions 116 to 353 of the family's 1533-position model. The record is from RNAcentral.
CGUAGGUAACCUGCCUUGUAGCGGGGGAUAACUAUUGGAAACGAUAGCUAAUACCGCAUAACAAUGGAUGACACAUGUCAUUUAUUUGAAAGGAGCAAUUGCUCCACUACAAGAUGGACCUGCGUUGUAUUAGCUAGUAGGUGAGGUAAUGGCUCACCUAGGCGACGAUACAUAGCCGACCUGAGAGGGAGAUCGGCCACACUGGGACUGAGACACGGCCCAGACUCCUACGGGAGGCAGCAUG